Molecule: unclassified non-coding RNA, 2935 nt
Filed under: Nilaparvata lugens (brown planthopper)
Lineage: Eukaryota; Metazoa; Arthropoda; Insecta; Hemiptera; Delphacidae
Description: sphingomyelin phosphodiesterase, transcript variant X1
Source: RNAcentral
CAAACAAUUUUCAGUUUAAUAAUUUAUCUAGGUAUUAACAAUAUUGGUUCAUUAUGAAAAUGUGUGAGUGCGCGAUAACAAGUUAGUUCCGAUUAUUCAAGUGUGCCAAUGAAAUUUUCAUGUCUUUCAAGACCGCAAAUGGUUAUUCUUCAGAACUAAUAACUUUUCUUUGAAUUUGAAGGCUGGUGGUGUGUAUUAUGCGCGUGCCUCUGCCACCAUGUUUCAUCAUUGUAGCAUUUCUUUCAUCGUUAUUUUCCACAAUUUUCAUCUUCACUUUAGGUAGCCCUUUGAGACCCGAACGCCAAAAAUGGAACAUCACUCUCGGAGGCGUUUGGGAUGAGUUUGCUCUCCUGAGCAAUGACAAUGAAGACCCGGCCGGGAUCCUGCAGCCGUCCAACCACUCUCAUCAGCUGCCACCUUCCUACACUCCUGAGCAGAUCGAGAACCAAACCAUGCGUCAAUUCCAGUUGUUGAAGGUGAAUUACAGCCGACUGUUGUCUGAAUUGGACUGGGAAAUGUCAGCCAAAGACUUGCGCAGUGGCCGAGGUCUGCCUCCCAUUGUGGACAAAGCGUUGCGCUUGCUCAAUCUCAAACAAGUGAUAGAAGAAGUAGAAACAAGUGUUAUGUCCAAAGUGUCGUGCACAGCGUGUAAAGCAGGUGCUGGACUUUUGCAGCAUUAUAUCCAUCAUGGAAAAACCAGAGAUGAUAUAGUAAAAAUAACUUACCAAUUUUGUGUUAGUUUCAAACUUCAAACUCCUAGAGUAUGUGAAGGGAUCACCGAGCUGUUUGGGGGUGAAGUAGUGUACGUAUUGAAUCGACUAAAACUAGGACCUGAAGAGAUUUGUAGUUUUGUGAUUGGUGAUGCCUGUGGUGAUGUGUAUAAUCCCACUCAUGAAUGGCAAGUCGUUUUCCCUCCAGUGCCAAAGCCAACUGUCAUUCCAAUUCCAAAUCCUACCGAAGGAGGUGCCACGUUCAAAGUGCUGCACUUGUCGGACACCCACUUCGACCCGUACUACCAGGAGGGCACCAACGCAGACUGUAAGGAGCCGCUGUGCUGCCGGCUGACCAAUGGCCCCGCCCCCGACGCAGCGUCGGCCGCCGGCGCCUGGGGCGACUACCGCAAGUGCGACACCCCCAAGCGCACCAUCGACAACAUGUUCCAACACAUCGCCGCCACCCAUCCAGAUAUCGACUACAUCCUGUGGACUGGUGAUUUACCGCCACAUGACGUCUGGAAUCAAACCAGAGAAGAGAACCUGAUGAUAUUGAAACAGACUGUCGCUCAAAUGACGCAAUUCUUUCCUGGAAUUCCGAUAUUUCCAGCUCUAGGAAAUCACGAAGCAGCACCUGUAAAUAGUUUUCCGCCGCCAUUCGUGCACAACGACUUUUCGAUCACUUGGCUGUACGACGAGUUGGACACCCAGUGGCGGGAAUGGCUGCCGGCCAGCGUCUCCCGAACCGUGCGUCGCGGCGCCUUCUACUCGGUGCUUGUGCGUCCGGGAUUCAGAAUCAUUUCGCUCAACAUGAACUACUGCAACAACAAGAACUGGUGGUUAUUAUUGAAUAGUACCGAUCCUGCCAAAGAGCUUCAAUGGUUCAUCUAUGAACUGCAAAGUGCUGAAUUCAAUAAUGAAAAAGUUCAUGUCAUUGGACAUAUUCCUCCCGGCCACAGUGAUUGCCUAAAAGUUUGGAGUCGAAAUUAUUAUACAAUAAUAAAUAGAUAUGAGUCAACAAUUACAGCGCAGUUCUUUGGUCAUACACAUUUUGAUGAAUUCGAACUGUUCUACGAUUCACAAGAUCUAGGGAGACCAACUAGUAUAGCUUAUGUUGGUCCAUCCGUAACUCCUUAUAACGAUCUAAAUCCUGGAUACAGAAUAUACUUUAUAGAUGGAGACCAUGAUCAAACAACAAGAACUGUUAUUGAUCAUGAAACAUGGGUGAUGAACUUGAAAGAAGCCAAUCUCUACAAUUACCCAAUCUGGUACAAACUGUACAGUACACGAUCGACUUACCAGAUGCCCAAUCUCCUACCACAAGAGUGGGACAAUUUCCUCAACCAGCUGGCUGAAAAUGAAUCUCUAUUCGACCAAUACUACAAACAUUACUGGAAGAACUCUCCGGUUCGCCCGGCGUGCGACGCGGAGUGCAAGAAGAGGCUGAUCUGCGACAUUCGCUCAGGCAGGUCGCACGACCGCAAGGCGCUCUGCCAGGAGAUCGAGAGUCGCAUCGACGCCAACACACGCACCGGCUGGCGAGCCUGGUUCUACAACGGCCUCGCACUCUCCAUUUGGAUUCUAUCCACAAUUUGUGAUUUAUUGUGAGUUGACUUCAUUUUCCAUACACUUUUUUUAAAUCCCACUGAAGCAUACUUUUGUAGAUCUCCACCAUAUUUUAAUUUGGUCAACCGAAAUGGUUUUAUUACUAGUUACCGUACUGUAAUUAGAAUUAUUGAAUUAUUUAUUUUUCCCACUUUGAAACUGUAAUAAACGCCACUUGCUAUUUUUCAAAAAAUAAAAUUAAUCUCUUACUAUUCUCUAUUUACCACAAAAUAUUGCCUUCUAGAAUUCACCUUACUUAGUAGUUGAGCAACUGCUUUCAGGCUUUGUAUAAUAAUUGAUGAUUUAAUUUCCACUCAGAAUAUUCUCAAUUUUUAUUUGCUAGUAUUAUUUCGAUGUUUGUAAUUGAAGAUGUAUUUUCAAGUUUUUUAUUAUUUCAUAUUUCUAUUCUCUUCCAUUUUGUGAGAGAUCACUUAUGGGUGAUGGGUGAGAGGUGUUGGAACCAAAACCAAUCUAAAAUGGAUGUCGGUCAUAAUGGCAAUACCUUCACUCACAUACAAAAUUCCAAAGUAUGUCUUGGGAUUCGGAUAGCAGUAACUCAUCAUUCAUGAAUUUAUUGUGAAAUUAUCGAAGUGCUCAUUUUCAACAAUUACAUUACC